Non-coding RNA from Hordeum vulgare subsp. vulgare (domesticated barley), 135 nucleotides. NCBI's taxonomy places the organism in Eukaryota, Viridiplantae, Streptophyta, Magnoliopsida, Poales, Poaceae. The record is from Rfam.
GUAGUACUCCCUUCGUUUCAAAAAAUUUGUCUUACAUUUUUUUAGAUAUGGAUGCAUCUAGAUAUUAAUAGAUGACUAGAUACAUUCAUAUCUAGACAAAUCAAGACAAUAAUUUUAAAACGGAGGGAGUACUUG